Molecule: ribosomal RNA, 218 nt
Filed under: uncultured bacterium
Lineage: Bacteria
Description: partial 16S ribosomal RNA
Rfam family: Bacterial small subunit ribosomal RNA
Source: RNAcentral
GAUGAACGCUGGCGGCGUGCCUAACACAUGCAAGUCGAGCGAUCUUCUUCGGAAGAGAGCGGCGGACGGGUGAGUAACGCGUGGGUAACCUGCCCUGUACACGCGGAUAACAUACCGAAAGGUAUGCUAAUACGAGAUAAUGUGCUUUUAUCGCAUGGUAGAAGUAUCAAAGCUUUUGCGGUACAGGAUGGACCCGCGUCUGAUUAGCUAGUUGGUGA